GGAAGGAUCAUUAUUGCACUGAAAAGUCUCUUAUGUGUGUCUCGCGCGAUUUUUUUCGAUCUCGUUUCCGGUUCCUCUAUAAUUAAUCAAUCAUGAGUCCAAGCAAUGGAUAUCUUGGUUCCCACAACGAUGAAGAACGCAGCGAAAUGCGAUACGUAAUGUGAAUUGCAGGGUUAAGUGAAUCAUCAAAUGUUUGAACGCAAGUUGCGCCACCCCGGUGGCAUGCUUCUUUGAGUGUCGGUUUCUUUCUGUUGGACGAUUUCGUGUAAUUGCCCUCGUGCGCAGCUCGCGUGUCGGUUGAAACAUAUGGACGCGCGUCGAUCGGGUGAGGCGGAAGCUUCGCUUAACAAAAAGACCUCAAAUGAAGUAAGACGACCCGCUGAAUUUAAGCAUAUAAUUAAGCGGAGGAGAAGAAACUAACGAGGAUUCCCUCAGUAACGGCGAGUGAAGCGGGAAGAGUUCAAACCUGGAAUCGCCUCGCGGCGAAUUGUGGUGUGUAAACGCGUGCCUCAGCGGCUGUGCCGGUGGAAGUCGACUGGAAAGUCGCAUCAGAGAGGGUGAAAAUCCCGUUCGACACUGGAUCCAGCAGUCGCGUUCGAGCCGUUGUUUUCGAGUCGGGUUGCUUGGGAGUGCAGCCCUAAGCGGGUGGUAAAUUCCAUCUAAAACUAAAUAUGUGUGGGAGACCGAUAGCGAACAAGUACCGUGAGGGAAAGAUGAAAAGAACUUUGAAAAGAGAGUAAAAAGUACUUGAAAUUGUUUGGAUUGAAGGGAUGACGCCCAGUCGGUCAGGAUGGCUUGGCGGCGGGUUUGUUGCUGGCGGGGGUAGGUGGCUCCUCGGAGUGUUUUAGCCCCGUGAGCAAAGCCUGCUGGCGAGCGAGGUCGCGGAUAGAUCCUGACGAAAUGGUCGUCAUUCACCCGUCUUGAAACACGGACCAAGGAGUCUUACAUGUGUGCGAGUGUUAGUGUGAGGAAGCAUUAUCGCGUAAUGAAAGUGAAUUUGUUCAAACGAGGGCGACUACGGUACGACCCGGAGCAUACAUGCAGGGACCCGAAAGAUGGUGAACUAUGCCUGGGCAGGAUGAAGCCAGGGGAAACUCUGGUGGAGGUCCGAAGCGAUACUGACGUGCAAAUCGUUCGUGUGAGCUGGGUAUAGGGGCGAAAGACUAAUCGAACCGUCUGGUAGCUGGUUCCCUC
RNAcentral lists this unclassified non-coding RNA (1194 nucleotides) under uncultured fungus. RNAcentral describes it as "sequence contains 18S rRNA gene, ITS1, 5.8S rRNA gene, ITS2, 28S rRNA gene". The stretch from base 353 to 1194 matches the Rfam family "Eukaryotic large subunit ribosomal RNA", at positions 1 to 961 of the family's 3401-position model. Lineage: Eukaryota; Fungi. The record is from RNAcentral.